AACAACGCUGGCGGCGUGCCUAACACAUGCAAGUCGUACGAGAAAGGGUCCUUCGGGACCUGAGUAGAGUGGCGCACGGGUGAGUAACGCGUGGAUAAUCUGCCCUUCAGUUGGGAAUAACUCAUCGAAAGGUGGGCUAAUACCGAAUAACGCUGUGAGACCUUGGUCGAUCAGCCAAAGAGAGCCUCUGCUUGCAUGCCCUCGCUGAAGGAUGAGUCCGCGUACCAUUAGCUAGUUGGUAGGGUAAUGGCCUACCAAGGCGACGAUGGUUAGCUGGUCUGAGAGGAUGAUCAGCCACACUGGAACUGAGACACGGUCCAGACUCCUACGGGUGCAG
Molecule: ribosomal RNA, 337 nt
Filed under: uncultured Pseudomonadota bacterium
Lineage: Bacteria; Pseudomonadati; Pseudomonadota
Description: bacterial SSU rRNA
Rfam family: Bacterial small subunit ribosomal RNA
Source: RNAcentral